CCUGCAUAAGACAGGUAUCUUGCUGUCCAGGAAGUAAUUCUUGCAGAAAUCUUAUCAACCAGAGGUUGCCAUUGAGCAACUGACAACUUUUUGGUAGUUAAAGGGACUCCCAAAUAUUUGAAAGGGAGGUCCCCUUUAACAUAACUAAGAUGAUCAAGAAUUUGCUGUUGAAUCUCAAUUGACACCCCACCAAAAUACAGAGCACUUUUGUGUAAAUUAGCCUUAAGACCAGUAGCAGCAAGGAAU
This 246-nucleotide long non-coding RNA is filed under the name Nicotiana benthamiana. RNAcentral's name for it is "long non-coding RNA (NBEN_LNC007560)". Lineage: Eukaryota; Viridiplantae; Streptophyta; Magnoliopsida; Solanales; Solanaceae. The record is from RNAcentral.